ACUCCUACGGGAGGCAGCAGUGGGGAAUAUUGCACAAUGGGCGCAAGCCUGAUGCAGCCAUGCCGCGUGUAUGAAGAAGGCCUUCGGGUUGUAAAGUACUUUCAGCAGUGAGGAAGGUGGGUAUGUUAAUAGCAUACUCAUUUGACGUUAGCUGCAGAAGAAGCACCGGCUAACUCCGUGCCAGCAGCCGCGGUAAUACGGAGGGUGCGAGCGUUAAUCGGAAUUACUGGGCGUAAAGCGCAUGCAGGUGGUUUGUUAAGUCAGAUGUGAAAGCCCGGGGCUCAACCUCGGAAUUGCAUUUGAAACUGGCAAACUAGAGUACUGUAGAGGGGGGUAGAAUUUCAGGUGUAGCGGUGAAAUGCGUAGAGAUCUGAAGGAAUACCGGUGGCGGAAGGCGGGCCCCCUGGGACAGAUACUGACACUCAGAUGCGAAAAGCGUGGGGAGCAAACAGGAUUAGAUCCCCUGGUAGGCUCUGC
This 477-nucleotide ribosomal RNA is filed under the name uncultured bacterium. RNAcentral's name for it is "bacterial SSU rRNA". It matches the Rfam family "Bacterial small subunit ribosomal RNA", at positions 335 to 800 of the family's 1533-position model. The record is from RNAcentral.